RNAcentral lists this long non-coding RNA (3033 nucleotides) under Canis lupus familiaris (dog). RNAcentral describes it as "lncRNA (ENSCAFG00000057246.1)". Lineage: Eukaryota; Metazoa; Chordata; Mammalia; Carnivora; Canidae. The record is from RNAcentral.
UUUUUUUGUUUUUUUUGGUAGUUCCUACAUCUGAUAACAUUUUCUUUUGUUUCAUUCAUAUUGCAAAAUUGGUUAUUCUUUUCUGCAGUCUUUUACUAGAGUAUCUCAAAUAAGUUUUCAUUUAAAAAGAAAUGGCAACACAGAGAAUAAUUUUCUCAUAAAAUAUGUAUAAUAUGGAUAUAAGCUUUUUUCUGGUAUCAUGUUUGGAAUUAGAUUUAGUUUGAAAGGUGCUCUACGUUUAUUAUUACUCCUACAGUAAAAAUCAUGAUUAGAAAGCAGAAACAGAAACUAUGUCUCUAAUGAAUACCAGACCUUUGGAGGACUAUAAUCUCUUCUAAUUUACACAUAAGUAGGGAAACUUAAUUAUAAUCUAAAACAAUGUGUUACUCUACACCUCUGUAGGUCAUUUUAGACAACUCUGAAUUUCCAUUAUAUAUUAAAAAUAGAUUAGAGUCAGCUUUUUCUUUAAUUACACACUAAAUUUUUAUGCAAUAAGAAAGGAGCACACAGUAGUUUGCUGUCUUACUUUAAACUUUUAGUGGAAAUAUACUGGAGUUUUAUUAUUUGAAUAUGUUGCUACAUGGAAGAAGAACUUGUAGACAGUAAAGCAUGAUAACAUACCCACUUUUUAAAGAGAAAUAGGAAGAGUGUUUCUUUGAAGAGGAGACUGAGAAGAUCCUUGCAAACAUCUGUUCCAGUGUGAGAUAAGGGUUUUAGCAGUGCAUAUCUUUAAGUGAUGCAGAUAUUUAGGUUUUUAAUAUUCUUUGUCACACUUUUGAAAUUUCUUAAGCUUCCGCAGCUUCUGUAAAGGGGAAAAAAAUGAUACCUAACUAAUCUACAUUAAAAUAAGUUAUAGCGAUGUUUAUGUUUCUAAGCUAGCUGCAUGGCAAUUUUCAAAGGGGCUUGGGAUAAAAAGUAGUUGGAUUUUAUUGCCAUUGAAAACUUGAAAUUAAUUUGUUUGCAACUAUAUGUAUUUUAUCAUGUUUUCACCUUUGCAGUCUGUCUAUUUUCAUGAGAUAAAUGGCUUUUUCCAAAGGUUUCCAUUCACUCCUUGCUUAUUUGCUGUCAUCUAAUUAAUAUUUAUUCCAUGUGUAACUUCUAUGCAGUUGUUCUGUUCUUUAGAAUCUAAUGAAGGGUUAUCUAGACCAAAAAUGUUGUCAUCUGUCUUUAAGAGGGUAGCAUUUUGUCACUUGGAUACAGACCCAGUGGGUAUGGACGCUGAACUGAUAGCUAUUCUCAAUACUUAAAAAAAAAAAAAAAAAAAAGGUUCAGUUGAGGGAGUUUGUUUCACGCGCCGUGGCUGUCAGGAUGGCUUUCUGGAAGAAGCAAGUUACAGGGAAGUUCUCCAGGGAGCUGUUUCCUCUCGUUUCUGUGGGCCUGUCAGCUCUUCCCCCUGAGGUGAUUUUAAUAUAUAUUUAUACUUAUUGCUGCUGAAACAAAAAAAAAAUGUAGAAGUCAGUGGUGGUGAUAAUACUUUCCCUCUCUUUCUCCUAAUUCAUUUAGUUAAUUUUAUCUUACCAAAAAAUCAAGAGGAGGGCAACUCGAUCCUAUGUGGGCCUCCAGGAGGACAAGUAGAGUCUCAGGUGCCAUUUCCUGCAGGAAUCCGCAUCCAUUUGGGGUGAAACAUCUAAGGGAACCGUGUCAUCCUCAAACCGAGGAAGGCCCCGACAGGCUAGUUGUGGGAAAGGAGAGGGGUCUUCUGUGUCAGGGCACCUGCAAGGGCUCCUGUAUAUCCCCGUCUAGCACAGAAAGAGAAAGAAAAUCUUGGGGCCCAGCAGUCAUGACUUCUUUCUGCAGCAUCUUUGGGUAUGUGCCUCGGUCUACACAUCUGCCUGUGUCUAUUUUCCAUGACAGCUUCCACUUGUGUUUUCUUGAAUACUGACAUCCUCUGUACCAGACCCUGGGGUCCUUGAAAAAGGAAAGGGAACUCAGACAGUUGUUGACUCCACCACGUUUAGUCUAGUAUGGGCUCAGAGAUGGAAGCACCGACUGUAGUAUGUGAAACAAAAGGAUGUUGAAUCCCUGUACUCUUGAUAGGCCAAGAGAAAAUGUUUAUUUUUUAUACGUAAACAACCCUCUAUGGAAAAUUUAAGAUGUCCAUGGAACACAACACUUGUGCAAUGGCUUUCGAACACUUCUGAGUACUUCCACAUGGCAACUAUCUGGUGCUGCAUGGCAUUUUACCUCUGGGAAUGAGAGGUCCAUGCUGCCUUUACCAUAUGCCUACUUAGGAUCUUAGAAAGCUCUGGGGAGAAGCAGGAGCAGGUCUCAUAUUCUGCUUAAAUAUUACUAAGAAACACAACCUUAGUCAAGAUGCUUCUAGGAUAGCCAUGGGGGGGCAUGAUGAUUUUUAAUUAAAAACUUAUGUUUUAGUUUCACAGCAAGAUUGAGGGGAAAGUAUGGAGAUUUCCCAUUAACUACUGCCCCCCCCCACAUGCAAAGCCUCCCCCACUAUCAACAUCCCCCACUGGAGCAGCAGUUUGUUGCACCAGCACUGACACAUCAUGAUCACCUAGAGUCUAUAGUUUACGUUAUGGUUCGCUCUUGGUGUUGUACAUUCUUUGGGUUUGGAAAAAUGGAUCGUGGCAUGUUCCUUCACGAUGGUACCAUCCAGAAUAUUUCCACUGCCCUAAAAAUCCUCUGUGCUCCGUAUGUUCACCCCUCCCUCCCCAAACCUCUGGCAACCACUGACCUUUUUACUGUCUCCAUAGUUUUAACCGUUCCACAGUAUCAUAUAAUUGCAAUCAUAGAGUACACAGCUUUUUCAGAUGGCUUCUUUCAUUUAUUAACAUCCUUUAAAGUUCUUGAAUGUAGUUUCACAACUUGAUGGCUUAUUUCUUUUACUGCCAAAUAAUAUAUUCCAUGAUAUGAUGUAACACAACUUAUUUUUACAUUCACCUACCGAGGGAUGUCGUAGUUGCUUCCAAGUUUUAGCAGUUAUGAAAAGUUGGUAUGAAUAUUUUUUGUGCAGAUUUCGUGUGGACACAAGUUUUCAACUCCAUUGACAAAAUUCCAGGAGUGUGAUGAUUGGAU